RNAcentral lists this long non-coding RNA (1614 nucleotides) under Nicotiana tabacum (common tobacco). RNAcentral describes it as "long non-coding RNA (NTAB_LNC003891)". The record is from RNAcentral. Lineage: Eukaryota; Viridiplantae; Streptophyta; Magnoliopsida; Solanales; Solanaceae.
UAUACAUAAAUAAAGGGAUGAAACGUGCGUAUUUUAAUUAGAAAAGGGACAUAAAGAUAUUUUUGUUUUCUAUUAUAUUUAUAUUUAUAUUUUAUAUAGAAAAGGAAAGUGUGGUCGGCAAAUUUGACAUUUUGCUUAUCCAUAAAAAUGUUUUCCGAUACUAAUUAUCUCAAUGCUCGCUGGCUUCUCUCAAAUAUAAUUCUAGAAGAAUCAGCUUUUAUUUCUUUUGUUCCAAGGAUGGAGAAACAUUCCAAGCUUAUAUAUUAGUUCAUCAGCAAGGAAUUAGAAGGUUUUCUAUUUCUUCAUCUUCUUCAAGUUUUUUAAAGAUUUUUUCCCCUAACUUUUGCUUAUUUUUUUCAUGUAUAGCUAAAUUUAAGAAAAACGAUUUAUAAUUUUGGAUAUGCUGUGUCAGAUUUUUGGACUUUUUUGUUCCUGCUUGUAUUAGUCCAAUUGGAUACAGAUUAGCCAAGAGCAAGCAGGUGAUCAACAUACCUACUUGAGGACCAUAUGAGGUAGAUUACUGUUGUGGUUCUUAAGGUUUGUUCUUAUGCAAUAAUCCAUGAAUAUUGAGGUUUUCUGUUUUUUUUGGGCUUAUGGAGCAUUUCAGGUAAGAACCAAAAGAGAGAGAGAGAGAGAGAGAUAUUUUGUAGUUUAGCAUAAAAUAUUUUUUAGGUGAUGUAAUAAUGUAUUUGGCAAGUUUCUUGUUGCUCUUAUGGAAGUUGCUGUAAAUAUUUUUUUUUUUUUGUCAAAGCUGUAAUUCCUUGCUCCUAUGCAUUGUAAGUAUUUUUCUAAUGAGCUAUUUUGUUAUCACGACAUUAUUUUAGUUUCUUUGUUCACUUUAACCCUUUUUGAGUUGGUGUCACUUUCACAAGUUUAAUCAAAGUAGAAUCUCACUACAAAUCUAGAUGGAAAGAGAAACAUAGAAGGUGAAAUAUGUUAAGUUAUCAUCUGUACUCCUUAGAUAGUCAUAGUUACUUCUCUUUGGAUCUUAGUUAUAGAAUAAGAAUUAUUUUAAGAGAACCACAUUGAGUUUGAAUUGACACAUAUCCUUGUAAAGAACUUUUUAUGCAGUUUGUUAUGGAUUCUCUUGAAACUGAGUCUGCAGAUGGUAUUGAAAGUUAAAGAUAGGUAAUUGCACUUUUUCCUUUGAGUUCCUGAAUAUGCUAAGCCGAUAUUAGAUUUUUGCAAUAUGUGGGUUUCUAUAAUAUAUAGUACUUUAUUCCUCUAUUGUGCUCACACACAGAGAGGCAAAGAGGAACAUAAGAGAGGAGGUGUCUCGAAUAUUAACAUGUAGUCCAUUAUCUUUUAUUUUAGGUAAUUCCCUCUAAUUCAAGGCUACUGGUUUAGGAAUUAGGAUAUCGAUUUUCGUAGUAUGAUCAAAUUAUGGAGAAUCUUUGCUCUCUGCUACGUGUAUUUAUGACAUUAGUCAUGAUGAGUUCAAAGUUCAAACACUUACCAGGAAAAGUCCAAUCUGUAGGUUGCUCUGUUUGUUUAGUUAGACAGGAGUUUAUCCUUUUCUUCAUUUGAUUCUUAAUUUGAAAAGUCCAUUACUAUAUUUAUGCCUUCGUUCGUGAAUGAAUUUUUCCCUUAAUGAAAUAAGAGCUUGGUUACCCC